UAUAAUUUUACUUUAUAUUAGAAUUAUAUUUUUAAAUAAUUAUUUAUUAUAGAGUAAUUUGCGGCAUAAAUACCUAAGUUUAUAUUUUAGUUGCAGAUUAAUACUUAAGUUAAAAUUUUGGCGGUAAAAAUACCUUCGGUCAUAUUUUUGGAACUUCCGUAAGUACCUGGCCGUUAAGUGCCAGGUCAGCCCCAGAUGUCAGUCACUCAUUGCUCCAAAUCAUUUAAUUUUUUUUUUUAAAAUAAAAAUCAUUUUAAGUAUGUAAAAAUAAUAAAAAAAAAUAAAAAAUAAAACUGAAUUAUAUAAAAAAAUAUCAAGAUCAAAACAAACCUUUGAAAAAAAAAAUCAAAACAAACCUAAAUCUAAUUUCUUUGUCUACUGAGUUCAAAAGAAAAAAAAAUUGCUUCGUCUACCUCGGCACCGACGGACGAGAGGGAGAGCCUUCAUCGCCCUGAGUUUUUGACUUCUCUCGAGCCUUUUUGGAAGAACCACCACGAGCAUCAAGGAACCCCAAAAAGUUUGGUUCUCCCUUUCUUUCUCGACUUCUCUCUCUCUAUUUUCUUUGCGCAGAGACAGAGAGCAACUCCGGCAGUCUAUGGCCCUCGAGUUCUCUCUAUUCCCUCUCUCCUCUCUUUCUCGACCUCUCUCUGCUCAGAGCCAAACUGAACAACUCCGAACUUCACCACCUUGAAAACCCCUAGAUCUAUAUCUCUGCCUCUCUUUCUCUCUCCCUUGGGAUCCUUCUCUUUGUUUCUCUCUGUGCAAACUGACAUAGAUUUGGCUAAGGUCUUGGCGGAGAUUUGGGCAUCGACGGGAGUCAUCGGAUUUCUCUUCUUCCAGGGUCCGACUAGUGUGUUUCUGGCUUUUGGUUUUCCUGGGGUGCGACUGGUGUGUGAUCCUUCUAGGGUGGUUUUCUUGGGGUGCAACUGGUGCUACUGGUUUGGUGUUUGUUCCUGGGGUGUGGCUUUCCUGGAGUAUACGACUGGUUUGGCAUUCGUUUGUCUUACUAGUUUGUCUUUAUGGUAUAUAUAUUCAUUCUUUGUUUUUGGGGUUGUCAUUGAUUAUGAAGGAGUGAUUUUUUUUUCAUA
This is a long non-coding RNA of Cannabis sativa, 1088 nucleotides long. RefSeq lists it as uncharacterized. The transcript is spliced from 2 exons. Lineage: Eukaryota; Viridiplantae; Streptophyta; Magnoliopsida; Rosales; Cannabaceae. The record is from RefSeq and is a predicted model, not a curated record.